AGCAGCCGCGGUAAUUCCAGCUCCAAUAGCGUAUAUUAAAGUUGUUGCAGUUAAAAAGCUCGUAGUUGAAUUUCGGGAUCAUCAGGUUGGUCGUGCCGCUGGUAUGCACUGGCCUUGGUGAUUCCUCCUUCUUGAGGAGCCGUGAUGCCAUUCAGUUGGUGUUGCGGGGAAUCAGGACUGUUACUUUGAAAAAAUUAGAGUGUUUAAAGCAGGCUCACGCUUGAAUACAUUAGCAUGGAAUAAUAGAAUAGGACGUUCGAUCCUAUUUUGUUGGUUUCUAGGGUUGACGUAAUGAUUAAUAGGGAUAGUUGGGGGCAUUAGUAUUCAAUUGUCAGAGGUGAAAUUCUUGGAUUUAUUGAAGACUAACUACUGCGAAAGCAUUUGCCAAGGAUGUUUUCAUUAAUCAAGAACGAAAGUUAGGGGAUCGAAGACGAUCAGAUACCGUCGUAGUCUUAACCAUAAACUAUGCCGACUAGGGAUCGGAUGAUGUUAAUUUUUAAUGACUCAUUC
RNAcentral lists this ribosomal RNA (510 nucleotides) under uncultured Glomus. RNAcentral's name for it is "SSU rRNA". It matches the Rfam family "Eukaryotic small subunit ribosomal RNA", at positions 569 to 1081 of the family's 1831-position model. The record is from RNAcentral. Lineage: Eukaryota; Fungi; Glomeromycota; Glomeromycetes; Glomerales; Glomeraceae.